GAUGAACGCUAGCGGCAGGCUUAAUACAUGCAAGUUGAGGGGCAGCAUGAUAUACGCGAGUAUAUUGAUGGCGACCGGCGGACGGGUGAGUAAUAGGUAGGAGACCUACCUCAUACAGGGGGAUAGCAUAGAGAAAUCUGUGGUAAUACCCCAUGAGGUUAUAUGAAUAGAGGCAUAUAAUCAAAGCAUAAGCGAUUAUGCGGUAUGAGAGGGGCCUACUGACCAUUAGCUAGUUGGUGAGGUAAGGGCUCACCAAGGCGAAGAUGGUUAGGGGUUUUGAGAGAGAGACCCCCCACAUUGGAACUGAGAUACGGCCCAGACUCCUACGGGAGGCAGCAGUCGAGAAUAGUCUACAAUGGCCGGAAGGCUGAUAGUGCGACGCCGCGUGAACGAGGGAGCCCUUUCGGGGUGUAAAGUUCUUUUCAUACGAGCAGUGCUAUAUAUAUGGAUAGUAUAUAUAGAGGGAUAGUAGUAUAA
RNAcentral lists this ribosomal RNA (477 nucleotides) under uncultured bacterium. Its description in RNAcentral is "bacterial SSU rRNA". It matches the Rfam family "Bacterial small subunit ribosomal RNA", at positions 28 to 487 of the family's 1533-position model. The record is from RNAcentral.